Long non-coding RNA from Mastomys coucha (southern multimammate mouse), 1291 nucleotides. RefSeq lists it as uncharacterized. Lineage: Eukaryota; Metazoa; Chordata; Mammalia; Rodentia; Muridae. The transcript has 2 exons. The record is from RefSeq and is a predicted model, not a curated record.
GUUCUUGGGUUGAAGAACUUUAGAAUGCCUCCAUUUGUGAGUCAUUGGCAACACUAUGGAAUGGUGAGGCUGGGUGGUUAUUUCUCCAUCAGGGAUGGCCUUGUAUCCACGGUAGUAACGACUGAGGUCCUCUGUGAGAAAGCCUGCAGCCUAGAGAUACCUCCCAACUGACAAGCCAAGAAACAAGGGGAAGAGAGAAAACUGGAAGAAAUUGACUAGCAUCUGUGAACUCACUUUUUUUUUUUCUGGAGCUGAGGACCGAACCCAGGGCCUUGUGCUUGCUAGGCAAGUCCUUUACCACUGAGCCAAGUCCCGAAACCCACCAUCUGUGAACUCUUACUGGCCAGAGGCUCAUGGAUGGCAUCUGUACUCAGAUAAUCAACUUUAAUGCUUACAAUGAUUUGGAGAGGCAACAAAUGUUGUCAUUUUAAAACUCCAAAGCCUGGAGUUCAGAAAGUUCCUUUAGUUUUCCAGUUUUAAAAGCAGAGGCAAAUUUCUGAGGUACACAUGCAAACACAAUGUUGUACUGCUUUGCCCAUCUCCCAUAAUGCUUUCACACAAAUCAGGAAAGAGAAGAUGCAAGUGGAACAGAGUCUCCUUGGAGCAUGCCCUUAGAAUCUUAUUGAUGAGAGGAAGUCAUGAGGCCACACUUACUAAAAAUUAAUUUCAUUUUCAGUUCAGGCAUGUCAAAGAAAAAGACCUAGGUCCUGCUAUUGUUACACAUGUAGAAUGUAGGUUAUCACACUGUAAUGAAAAACCUUGGCCAUAUUUAGCCGGCCAGAUUUUUAUUUCCCAAGGCCAUGAUAAGGGAGAUGACUGAGAUGUAGUUUGCAUAAUUAUGAAGAAACUAUGUUAGCAAAAGAAUGUGGGAAGCUUCUGUUGCUAAGAAAAUCAAUUCUCCCGUCCAAAUGAGGAUGCCAGGUUUAUAUCUCAAGAGUACUUCCCAACAAAUCUCCAGUCUAGUGUCUCAUCCUGAAGCAUGUCUUGGAGAAACUCAGCCAAAGACACAGGGUUACCAAGAGAGUCUCUAAAGAUGUAAGAAUUCUAUCCAGAAAGAGAGGACUGCAACCUAAAUAUAAAAAAGAAACUGAACUAAGAAAUGAAAAGUAAUUAAAAUGAUGACCAAGAUACAGGUAGAAUCAAGUGGUUGGGAGAUCCUGCCAGGAGCAAAGAGAAGACAAACUUUUACAUCCAUAUUAACACAUCUGCUUAUGUAACCUUUGUGUCCAUAGCAUCGUUUGGCUUCUGGAAGUUCUCUAUAGAGUGCUCUAAUAAACCUUCACCUUGAGGA